This 406-nucleotide ribosomal RNA is filed under the name uncultured bacterium. RNAcentral describes it as "partial 16S ribosomal RNA". It matches the Rfam family "Bacterial small subunit ribosomal RNA", at positions 30 to 526 of the family's 1533-position model. The record is from RNAcentral.
AUUGAACGCUGGCGGCAGGCCUAACACCUGCAAGUCGAACGAGUGGCGGACGGGGGAGUAAUGUCUGGGAAACUGCCCGAUGGAGGGGGAUAACUACUGGAAACGGUAGCUAAUACCGCAUACCAUCGGAUGUGCCCAGAUGGGAUUGGCCGGGAGGUGGGGUAAUGGCUCACCUAGGCGACGAUCCCUAGCUGGUUUGAGAGGAUGACCAGCCACACUGGAACUGAGACACGGUCCAGACUCCUACGGGAGGCAGCAGUGGGGAAUAUUGCACAAUGGGCGCAAGCCUGAUGCAGCCAUGCCGCGUGUAUGAAGAAGGCCUUCGGGUUGUAAAGUACUUUCAGCGAGGAGGCGUUACUCGCAGAAGAAGCACCGGCUAACUCCGUGCCAGCAGCCGCGGUAAUUC